Molecule: long non-coding RNA, 506 nt
Organism: Hypomesus transpacificus
Lineage: Eukaryota; Metazoa; Chordata; Actinopteri; Osmeriformes; Osmeridae
Exons: 3
Source: RefSeq, a predicted model, not a curated record
AGACGAAAUCCAGCAACCACGCACACCUCCAGACGAGUCAGCCAGGUUUUUCCUCUGCGAUGAUUUACAGUCGCGGGGCAUAAAAAAUGACCAGUCACAUAAAUCAUACAGUGGCGUGAUGAAAACUCUCCAUUAAUACUAUGACCCCGCCGCGAGCUAUCUACCUCCCAUUCAUCACCGCAUCGUGGGUAGAAGAUGGAACUCAAAACUCUUUUCUUUCUCCGCUCCCCUCCUCUGUUUUCCUGUCUGACACGAAACAAGCGUGGUGUUCGUUGAACCACUAAAGGCAAGCGGUGGAUUUUUUACAGAGUACACGUUGGGGCAAACCGUACUGAUGGGCCUUUUGAUCCAUUGCUGGCGAUGAUUGAUUAAUUCUCUGUUAAGCGGUAAAGAAUGCUGUGUUUAUGGAUGAUGCAUUGAGUUGUGAUGAAUUCGUUAUGUUUGCUCUGGGAUGAAUGAUUAUCAAUAAGCGUUGAAAACUUCAUCACAUUAAAAGAAUUUGGUGU